RNAcentral lists this ribosomal RNA (688 nucleotides) under uncultured eukaryote. RNAcentral describes it as "SSU rRNA". It matches the Rfam family "Eukaryotic small subunit ribosomal RNA", at positions 564 to 1269 of the family's 1831-position model. The record is from RNAcentral. RNAcentral also lists the same sequence under 1 other name.
GUGCCAAGCAGCCGCGGUAAUUCCAGCUCCAAUAGCGUAUAUUAAAGUUGUUGCAGUUAAAAAGCUCGUAGUUGAACUUCUGGCAGUGGGUAGGUGUGGCCUCGGUCAACUUACUCAUUGUCCUCCGUCUGCUUACCAUGUUCGGUCUUCACUGGUCGGCAUGGGGAGUAGACAUUUUACUUUGAAAAAAUUAGAGUGUUUCAAGCAGGCAAUCGCCAGAAUACUUUAGCAUGGAAUAAUGGAAUAGGACUCUAGUCCAUUUGGUUGGUUAUUGGAAUGGAGUAAUGAUUAAUAGGGACAGUUGGGGGCAUUAGUAUUUAAUUGUCGGAGGUGAAAUUCCAGGAUUUAUUAAAGACUAACUUAUGCGAAAGCAUUUGCCAAGGAUGUUUUCAUUAAUCAAGAACGAAAGUUAGGGGAUCAAAGACGAUCAGAUACCGUCCUAGUCUUAACUAUAAACGAUACCGACUCGGGAUUGUAAAGGUACCUGCGACCUUUGCAGCACCGUAUGAGAAAUCAAAGUCUUUGGGUUCUGGGCGGGAGUAUGGUCGCAAGGCUGAAACUUAAAGGAAUUGACGGAAGGACACCACCUGGAGUGGAGCCUGCGGCUUAAUUUGACUCAACACGGGAACACUUACCAGAUCAAAACAUGCAGUGGGAUUGACAGAUUGAGAGCUCUUUCUUCGAUUCG